AAUUGCAAACUGCUGUCGUCUGAGGGUGGGCUGCUCCCCUCCUGUCUGUCCCCAGCUCUCCUGCACGCAGAGUCUCAGGGCUCCGCCCCAGGCCCUGCCCACCCCUGCGCUUUCCGCCAGGCCUGCAGCCUCCGCCUCCAUACAACCUGGCCUCCCUGCCACCCCCGUGCGUCUCACCCCUCACCCAGAAGUUCAUGGCCUUCCGCAGCUCACCCAGCUCAGAAACCAGUCCUCGGCCUUCUGGGUAGGUCCGCGACCCCAGCAGCUGCCAGCCACCGAGGCCGAGCCUUUGAGGGCCUCCCUUCCUCUUCUCCGGUCCAGCACGGAGGCGCCCGGGCCGGGAGUCCGCACACAUGCACCCCCCGAGCCUCCAUCCACCCCAGCCCCCUGCCCGAGCCGCCAGGCUGUCUCUUCUGCAGGGGGGGCCGGGAUCCCGAUGCCCCCACACCCCUGCACAAGCCCGGCUCAGCCCGGCCGUCACUGAAGUCCUCCUGGGCCUGCCUGGCCCGGUCACAGCAGCCGGCAGGGAAAUCCCCAGUAGACACUGUGAAACUCAGGCAUGUCGAGAUAAGUCACAAAGUCACUGUGAGAAAGAUCCAACCGUCAGGACCUUCUCAGGCUCCUUGGCUCCUCACGUUUGUGCCAAGUUGGGAGGGUGACUCCAGACGUCACCCGUUCACCACGGUGCCCAGACACAGCCUCAAGGCCAACCUGGCCACACUGGAGACAGGGUGCCGGGUCUGCCCGCCUCCCGGCCAUUCUGCGCUAAAACUUGCUCCCCAGUACGGCAGGGGCGGCUGGAGAGGGAGCACCCUGUCGUUGUCUUCUUGUCUUUUGUUCGCUGACAGGUGGGGCGUCCACCCUGUUAGGACGGGCAGCAUGGCGUGGGAAGGGCAGGGUCGGGCAGAGGGCCCAGGCGGGAAGGGCAGGCUCACGGCAGCGAAAGGGCUGACCCGCGCCCCUCGCCCCCUCCCAGCCACCAGUCCUGCUUCGGUGACCAGAGACGGGCUGAGAUCACUGGGAAGUGCUGGCGAGCAACCCUUGUGGGCUGAGUAG
RNAcentral lists this long non-coding RNA (1056 nucleotides) under Bos indicus x Bos taurus (hybrid cattle). RNAcentral's name for it is "lncRNA (ENSBIXG00005020416.1)". The record is from RNAcentral. Lineage: Eukaryota; Metazoa; Chordata; Mammalia; Artiodactyla; Bovidae.